Molecule: microRNA, 22 nt
Filed under: Melibe leonina
Lineage: Eukaryota; Metazoa; Mollusca; Gastropoda; Nudibranchia; Dendronotidae
Description: mle-miR-153-5p
Gene: mle-miR-153-5p
Source: miRBase by way of RNAcentral
CCGCUUUUGUGGUUUAGCAAUU